RNAcentral lists this ribosomal RNA (776 nucleotides) under uncultured Neocallimastigales. RNAcentral's name for it is "partial large subunit ribosomal RNA". It matches the Rfam family "Eukaryotic large subunit ribosomal RNA", at positions 23 to 620 of the family's 3401-position model. Lineage: Eukaryota; Fungi; Neocallimastigomycota; Neocallimastigomycetes; Neocallimastigales. The record is from RNAcentral.
GAGAGAGAGACAUGCGCGCAUAUCAAUAAGCGGAGGAAAAGAAACUAACAAGGAUUCCCUUAGUAACGGCGAGUGAAGCGGGAAGAGCUCAAAUUUGAAAUCUUCAAGGUUUUACCUUGACGAAUUGUAGUUUAAAGAAGUGUUUUCUGCUGAAGUUUUGGUAAAAGUUCUUUGGAAUAGGACAUCAUAGAGGGUGAGAAUCCCGUAUUUGACCAUUAUUUUCAGCUUUGUGAUACACUUUCAAAGAGUCGGAUUGUUUGGGAAUGCAGUCCAAAAUGGGUGGUAAAUUUCAUCUAAAGCUAAAUAUUGGCGAGAGACCGAUAGCGAACAAGUACCGUGAGGGAAAGAUGAAAAGAACUUUGAAAAGAGAGUUAAACAGUACGUGAAAUUGUCAAAAGGGAAGCGUUUGACACCAGUGUUGUUUUCUCGAAAAUCAAUUAAAAAUGGCUCGAUUUUGUAUUGCUUGAGACCUUAAAAGCUCACUGUACAUUUUUCGUGUCUUUUUUAAUGCACUUUUCGUUUAACAAGUCAACAUCAGUUUCUUUUGUUGUAAAAGGGUCAUUGGAAGGUGGCUUUCUUUUCGGAGAAAGUGUUUAUAGCCUUUGGCCUCUGCAAUCGAAGAGACUGAGGUCUGCAGCGUAGACUCUUCGGGGUUAGAUACAUUUGUGCUAAGUUAUAGCUUUUUAUAGACAACUUGUUGACUAUAAUUAGUCUUGUAGCUUACUCGCUUAUGCUAUUUUACCUACGCUUAGGAUGUUGAAGAUGUAGCACAUCAU